GGCUCUCUCGCGAGGGGGGCGGAGCCUGAUCGCUGACUGACUGCUGCGGCAGCCAAUGAGUCCUCGAGCUGAGGAGGAAGGGCGGGCUGUGGCGGCAGAAGGGCCUGUGGCGGCGCGCGGCGGAGGGCUGGGGGUGUUUGUGAGAGGAGCGGGGCUGCCUGGAGCUGAUCGUGCCGUUGCUGUCUGCCCGCCUCACACCCUCUGUGGAAGCGCGGUGUCUGUGGUGAUGGAGGCAUAGCUGGGCCUGCAGCGUUCUGAGGCGGGUGAUAAGAAGGCUCUGGUGUCACAGCUGCAGUACCCAUCGUAGCUGUACUGCCCUGCGUGACUGGUAAUGGAGGGCUGAACUGGUACAAGGGGGGCUGGGCGGCCUGUGGAGAUUCUGUUGUGUGGGGGUGGGCAUUCAGUCUGUGAAUAAAGCUGGUUUGGGGUUUGGCAGCCCUCGUCUCAGUGUGCUUCAAUUAGCACCAAACUCAUCACUUUUGAGGUAACUUCCAGGUGUGAUGAGAAGCACUGACAGGAAAAGCUGGUGCUGGUUCUGUUUUCCCCACUGAAGCCUUCAGCCAUGCACGUGAAUAUUGGCUUUUUAAGUAACUUUAAUUUUGUUCUCGCUUUUGGUGUAGGGUAAAGCUUGGAACGGAAAGAAUGCCAAAUUUGCAGCUUUUAAGCUGAAAAGGUUUAAAUGAAGAUUGGAAAGGAUCUCAAUGCACUGAGAACAAGAGGAGGAAAUGAAGAUGGAGAGAGAAUACAGGAGUCACUGCAUCUACACAUAGUUUGUGUUUGUGUUGAGCUUUAAGCUAUAAAGGGGCAGACUUACCAGUAGGUUAUCGUAGAUGUAGCUUAAUUCAUUAAAGUAGGCUAAUUAAGCAAAAAAAAAAAAAAUAGAAUGGAAAUUUGGUUGUGAGGUUAUGACUGUCGUGUUAGCUAGUUUAAUGUGGUGACAUCAAGGUAAGUCAGUGUACACCCGUAUGUAAUUUCAUACAUUACGCUGAGGCUUUUGAUUUCUGAAGUUGAAUCACAGCUGCAUUAAACCCACUUGUAGUCUGACUGGAAAGCAUCCACAGGUGAAUUGAAUUGAUACUUCCUUAAAACCAUCUGGAAAUUAUCUGUUUUGUAAUUCAGAGGAAAGCGUAACUAAAAAAAAACAGGAAGGAAAUGAGAUCUAUUUUGAAGAUUGCAUUUAUAAAACCAGGUAGGUUGUUUUGUAUGGACACAUAUUUAUGAAUAAGCAGACCGUUCUUGCAACAUUUGUCCAGUUUACAGAAUCAUCAGAAGGUUUGGAAAACAAAGCCUUGAUGUGCUACUGUAUUUUUUUCCCUCCCCCUACAUAAUACAGAAAAUAAGAAUGCUUUUAAAGAGAAAGAAAGCUCAUUGAAGACUGUAGACCCCGUUCUCCCUGUGCUAUCAGAAGGUUAUUUUGGCUUCUGUUGUGCAGGCAGCAGCCCCGUUGCUGUGCUCAUGGGGAGGAUUGUGCUCCUCUCUGAGGUGCUGAAGCCAGAAGGCUGCCAGGGGGUCCUGGAGAUCCCCACAUACCCCCCGGUGUGCCUGGUGUCCCUGCUACACAAGUCAAAACUACACCCACAGUGAUUUGAGUGUGGGAAGACUGUAGUUCACGUGGGUGUGUUUGAUGAGGGGUUUAAGUGGCAAUCAGUUGUGGCCAUUGGACUCUUGGUUAACGUGUUUAAAAAAGGGAGAGUGUAAUCAGUCUUUACACCAGCACAGAGGCAUGGCUUGUGAGAAAGAUACAUGUGAAUUUUGUGACAUUAAUGCUUAAUGGUAGGCCACUGCAUUCUGGAAAUUCUUUGAAAGACUUUGGUAUAUCUGAAGAUGAGCGUGUGUGCAGUCCACACUGCAAUGCUUCCUGGAUGAUACUUUAUUUGUGUAAGCCUUAUUUUGUGAAAGUUUUGCCUUUAAAUCUGGACUAUUGCAAAGAGGUGCCACUUGGACUCGUUGGUCUUUAUUGUUGUGCAUCCAAUAUGAAAUUCAAAAGGGUAACACUCUAAAAACAGGAGAAAACAGGAGCACAUUGUCUGAGAAUGAUGGUGCUUCACCAUUUUUAUGCAUGAUUAGAAUCUAGAAUUCACAGAACAUGCUUAGCCAUAAGAAGCUGUCCAAGAGAACUAAUGUGAGUGAAUUCAGUUUGUUAGAAAGAUUCUUCCUGCUUGCUUGCAUGAGAUUGGAAGUUUAAGGUGAUUAUCUUGAAGAGGUGAUAAUAAAGGUUGCUGAUGAUCGUAAGUGUGAAACAGGAGGACGCAGCAGUUUAGCUGUUGGCAGAAAUAAUGCAUUCGUGACUCCAAAUAGUUGGCUGUGCCAGAAGAUUCUCCUUGAAAUUAAUUUCCAUUCCACCACACGCUCUCGCUGGGAUUUGAUAACAUCCUCCAUUCAGGACUGCACAAGAGAAGUCUGAAAUCAAGCUGUGAUGAAAAGGAACGAACUGAUUGGUCUCUGCAAGCUCCGAGCCAUGGAGAUAGUGUUAGAAAGUGUCAUGAUGACGUGAAGGGUUGAAAGCCAAUCAAAUGGAGUGUGAGGGAUCUGCCAAACUGCUAUUUCAGAUGACAGAGCCGGCUAAAGAAACGAUGUAUUUUUAUCCUGGGAGACAACAAUUCAGAUUAGGGGAAAAUAAAUGUGAAGUUUGAAAUCAGAUUUUCUUGGCACGGCACUUCAGGAGUGCUUGCACAUUACACAUGUGAUGAUAUUGUCUCUAUAAUAAGUACCAUGGUUAUGCAAUAUGUUAACAUAUUAUAAUAUGAGAAAUACAAUCCAUUAAUUUAUUAUGCACAUUUAAUCAUUUUAUCUUCGUGUCUGUUCUGUUAUUCCCACACAUCUGCAUUUUAACGUCACUUCUUCAUUUUUUUGUUUAGUGCUCAGGUAACUCGCAUUGUUUUAAAAGUUCUUGAUUUUCUGCCUGUUUUUUCCUUUUGCUUUCCUCUUUUCUAGAUCUUCAGAUGAAAAUCCCAUGCAGUUUUACUUAGGUUAUCUAUCUUUUGUUUUUAAAAAAUGCACCAGAAAUGCAGCAACAAAGCACAGAUCCUUGAAGGCUAUGAAUUCGCUGUUCCACUGCAGAUGUUACCGUUCUGCUCGGCUACCACAAGAGGGACGUAGAAGGAAAGCUAAGAUAGCCGGGGAGAAGAAAAACAAAUCGAAAGAACAGCUUCAUGCAGGUUCUUAGCAACAUACAUUUUGCUUUUGUUUAGAAGGAUCUUCUGGGAUCGUAACAUUUCUAUAGUUUCCUCCACCUCUAAUAAUCUUUAAAAGCUUUAUAGACCUUAGAAAAUGUGUUAAUAAGCAUUAAUAGCUAAAAUGGAUCUUUUCCCAGAACUCCAUAAUCUUUCCUCAGCGUUUUCCUGCUGGAAUGUCUGUAGCAGUGUUGGGACAGGGUGUGGUUGGGCUGGCUGUGUUUUUGUUCCAUCUCUAGCUAUUGGACAACAAAUACUGCAGAGUUUAAUAGGCAUAUGGGCAAGAAGGUUAGGGAGCUAUUUUUGUUUAUUUCUGUUUAAUUUUCACAAAUUAAUGGGUGAUGAUGCACAUGUCCUAAGAUCAGAGCUCAUAUAAAUGCCUUCACGAAACAAGAGGACCAUAAAAACCUUUUAAGUAAAUAUUGAAGGAUUUAUUGGACUAUUGUGGCAUUAAAAAGCACAGUCCUAGCACGCAGUAGAUUGAAAGUAAUGCACAUGUAUAUUUUAGGAUCUGCAUCGUAUUAAUGCCUGAUGUCAGUAAAGCUUUACUUCAGCCAUUGUGAGGCAGAGGCAUAACUAGCUGGGCAUGUGGCUUCAUCUGAGCAGUAAUACUGGAAGAAAGGGCUGUUCUGAAUAAAAUUAUAAUAAUUUUAUGAACUUUAGUCCUUAAUGCUUAAAUUUGUAUAACAAGUAUUUUAACAUCACAUUAGAAGAUCUCUGUCAAGUGAUACUAGAUUGAACAGUCCUUUUUAAAAAGCCCUUUAAUCCAUGAAAAUGCUUUCACAAGCUGAAAGCACAUCAGAGAAGUAUUAUUGUAUGAAUGUAAAAAUUUCUCUAAGGUGCCAGGAAUCUGAGUGCACCAGUAAAUGCAACCCAGCUUUGAUUUCAAGAGUACAAAUAACGUGGUAUUGAAAACUCACAGAAAAGGGUUAUCACUCAUUGCCAGUGGAAUCUGAAUACUUUUAUCCUUUAGCAAAGUGUGUAAUGUUUCUGUUUCGACCGAUUUGCAGCUUCAGCUGCACUGUGGUUGUAAAAAAAAGUAUUCCUGAAGCAAACGGGAUGAGUACUUUAAAGCAAUGGAGGAAAAGGAGGAGAAGAUCUUGACAUUUCUUCAGUGAUGGAGAAGAUACUUAGAUAUUAAGGUGAUGAAUGACAUAUGAAGAUAAUAGCAGUAUAUGAAACUAGCUAUAAACUCUGUGCUACAAACCAGUUUUCCUUCCCUGUCUAAGCUAAGUGGGUAGUAAAAAGCUAAUAAACCAUGAAAAUGUAAUUUGAUGUUGAAGUACUACUUAAAAAUCCUUUAGCUCGGUAGAAAAUUAGAAAUCCUUCCCCCCAAAAUGUAUUAAAGUGCCUUUUACCUCUUGUUCCUUGUAAAUAGCUGAAGUGUGUGGUCAUCCUAAACAAUGCCACGUUAGCACUGAAUCUGACUUCAGUGAACGUAUGGAGGGGAAAAAUCUUUUUAAAAACAGAGCUUCUGGGUUUUUUUAUUGCAGUUUUUGCUUGCAAAAGUACUGGGUGAAAUGAGCCACUUCUCUUUAACUGGCCACAGAUGUCAGAUUGCUCACAAAAAAGCAUGGUUUUUAAAAUCCAAGGAAAAUAGCUGGAAAUAGUAGAUAUAUUCCUGAAGAUAUUUGAGAGUUACUUAUUAAGUUUGCCUUUUGUAGGAGUUCUGGAAGAAGCAGACUCGUUAAAAAUAUUCUGUUUCUAAAAGGGCAUCAUCUUUUCUUGAAGUGGGAUUUCUUCAAACCAGAUGUUGUUGUAUCUCAGCUUAAAAACAAAUUUUGAAUCUCUUGAUUAACUACAAAGAGUGUACAUGUUUCUUUGUUUUAAUGUCUGGCAGUUAUCCUGGGCAGAUGGAGGAGCAGUGAGGUUAUUUCGGUGUAAUGUAAAAUCCAGUUCUUCACAACGAGUUCUGAUGUGUUUGAAUUGUGUGGACUGGUGUCUCCCUCUGAUUCAGUGGAGAAAACAGAAGAGUGGUGCUUUUUCAGGUUACCCCAGUGUCUUGUUUAAGUGUAUAAAUACCUUGAGUUUUAGCAGUGUGAUUUCUUAUGUGACAACAGCUUGCUUUCUUCUCAAAGCAUUACUGCUUUACAGACCUUUACUUUUUUUCUUUUUUUUAACUUUUAGGGAAGGGAGCUUGCAAGGAGUUAAAUGUGAGGCUGUUUUUUGUAAAGAGUACAUUAAGAGAACAAAUAAUUUGAAAAAGUCUGGGUUUUUUUCCUUCUGUGUCCUAACCUGUUUUUUUCCUUCUCUAGUUCUUUAAACGAAUAACUUACUUGCAUUCUCUAUAUGUAAAGUAAAUCCUUCCAAGCUAAACCUUCUUCCUGCUGUGGGAAAAGUCUGUUAAUUUGGCAUUUGUCUUAAAAAUGAAAUAACGUAAGUAAUCCAAUAAUUAGGUGUGUUGCCCUUUGGGCUUUGUUGCGGGAGGGAGUGUGUCUUAACUUCUCUGAAGGCUAUACGUGUAAGAACACGUGUUUAGCCACAUAAUGUGGCUGCAUGAUUUAAUGUGAGUGGUUCAGAUUCCUGUUGGCCUAAACACCUGCAUCCGAAAUGGUUCUUGUCAUGAAAUAACAGCCAUUUAGUUUUCUGCUCUCCAGCUCCCAAGGAUUAACACGUUUUCAUGGACACCUCAGUUCUUUUUGAUGUGAAAUGCAGAUUUUCAGACCAAGACCUUAUCUUUCCAUUGCCAAUACUGAAGUUUCAGGAAACAGCAAGUAUAAAACUUUCAUACAGUUGUAGCAGCUAUACUAUAGGUAGGACCAGUAGUACAACCAGCUGCUUCUUUCUUGCUUGCCUGAAAAAGAAAACUUCUAGAAUUGAGGGAGACCAAAUAUAUUAGGUGUUGCAGUAGUUUUCCUGUGAUGAAAGCCCUUCCAUUAGAAGUCUUGUAUUUCUGAUGUUUUGGGGUGAGUACAGGGCAAAAAGAGGUUGGGUGCUGAACCAGACUGGUUUCAGGAUGGAGAAGCUUGCUUAAAGUGGAAAGAAUGUUUUCCUUGCAGCAUCUAGUGGAUUUGAGGAGGAACCAAGCCAGUACUGAACACAGGUCAUGAAUGGUUACAGUGUGGCUGUGUAAUGCCUUCCCAGAACUCAUGAGUUCCUUGGAAAUGUACCCAGGCCACUGGUGGCAUUUUGUCAAACAGUAUGUGAAAAGAUCCACAGGCUGGUGGGUCCCAGGUUUUAACAGUACUCCUGAGAGUGAAUGAUUUCAUUUAUUAUGCUAUCUACUUCCUAAAUGCAGUGGGCUUAAGUGGAUUUGCUUCUAUUUGCUCAGAAAAGAGUUUCCAAGUAUCAGAUUGAUGAUACGGAGUGUUCCCUAUAGCUCCUUUGCAUGCCCAUGUUGGUUUUGCCUUUUUCAGUGCAGUUUCAUAGCCUGCUUCUCAGCUGCUAAGCCAGGACAGAGGAAAAGCCAUUUCCCCACCCCAGGCUGCUGCUGGUUCCUGGGACUUCCUCAUGCUGGCUGAUUUAAGACCCACUUGCAUGCCUUGGGAGCAUCCACACCCUGAUGGCAGCACCUUGGGGCUUCCUCUGGAUCAAAUCCAACCUGCCCUCUGCUAGGUUUCCAACAAUGCUUCCAAAUGGCUAACCUUUGCUUUUGGCUCUGCCUCCUGCGUGAAGGGCAGCCAGUGUGACAGUGAAUGAAUGGAAAGGUUCUGGAAGUGCUAUGAAAAGAGGAGUCCUUCCUCCCUGCUCUCUCUGGUAUCAUGCAGACUAGCAGUUAUCAAGAGGUGCCAUCUGAGAUUCAUGAUGAAGAGGCUAAAAUGGAAAUGGAAUUUGCUUGAAUUCCUGGACCCUGAGCCGGGUUCAUGGCAACCCUUUGAACCCAUUACGGAGUCUGGAAACUGUGAACUGGGUCUGUUUUUACUAAAAAUGAAUUACCAGACUUAAUUUAUGGUCAAACAGAAGUUUUCAAAUUGUUUUUCAGUUUUGGUCCAGAAAAUCCAAGAGUCCUAUGUCAUAUGGAAGAAACCCAGAGCACAGAAACAUUGUAUGCAGUUGUUAGCAAAUGUUAUUAAGAAAAAUGAAAUCCUAUGCCUUUAUUUCAGCUAUCGGAUGAAGAUUGAGCAAAGGUGCUCUGGGAAGCCUGCUGGCAAGUAAGUGGCAUUCCAAUCUCAGACAAGAUACUAACAUAUUAGGCCACUUUCUUGGCUGCAGGUUAUUAUAUGACUUUACUGGAAGAAAUUAUUGCAAAAAGGAUCUGAAAAUCUGCAAAGCAGUAAUUCUAAGUAGCGCUUUGGUAAUGAUGUCAUUUAAACAAAAAGUAAUAUGAAGCAUUGGGCAAUGACCUUCUUUGGAUCAAGAGCAACGCGAGGCCGCUAGCCAAAAUGCAGGAGAAGCUGCACGGUAUAAUAAAAGUGUUGUGGAAAGUCCAAAGCAUGUAAGGUCAAGGUCAAGUACAAAAAGACCGUAUUAGAAUGACCCUGAGGAGUGGCAGAAUAAACAACGCAGUAUUUUCUACGACUGUGAAGAUGUAGGAGGAGAUGGAGUGGAGAAGCCAUUUGUAAUUCUAGUCGUAUACUGUGUACAUUUACGAUUGGUCUGUCAGCUCUUCAAAUAAGAAACCAAAUCAUGGGCUAGCUGGAGCACUGGAAGAAUGUGAAUGAUUGCUGUGAUUUCACACCGAUCUUAAACUAUUUGUUCUUUUGGAACUUAAAUCCAGUUCUAACAUGCAUCUACCUCCUCUCUACUGAGGAAGCAGAAAAGCUGAAGUGAAACAAGGGACGUUAUUCUUGAUGGAUAUGAGGAAACAUCAGGAAUACCACGUAAAAACUGUGUUAUUGUAGGUUUCUUAACGGAAUGACCCAUUAUGGAACUACACGUGGUCUGUAUUGAAGGAUCAAACUAAGGUAUGGCGAUUAACCCUUUGCUGUUAUGUUUGUGUAGCUUUAACUCUGUUCAUCUGUGAAUAGCUGGAGGCCUGAUCAGCUUAGGAGGCUCCACAUGCCUCACCCUCUUCUCCCUCUUUGUAUCACUCGUUCUGUGUUCCGCUAGAAGCCACCACAAACCUCAUCUGAAAGAAACAAAAAGGGAGGGGGCACCUGCAGGAAUAAAUGGCAAAAGCUCCUAUUUUAUAGCGAGGUUUAGAAGUGCAACUCGGAUCUUCUUAGAACAGUUUCUCUUCCCGCUGUGUUAGGAGUAACUCCCAGAUGCGACUUGAAGCCAGCAAAUGAUCUCAGGCAGUGAGAUCAGAUUUUGCUGAGUAUACGGGGUUAGACAUGUUCAUUGCUCUCCUUCCAGAAGAUCUCCUAUCCAAACCAUGCAUUGACAUUUGAUUUCCUUGGGAACAUUGGCCCUCACAGUAGCCUUUACAGCAUUUGUGUAUAGAAACCCACAGUUACAACGUUGUCUCUUGCCUUCCAGUUGAAAAUUGCUUUUGUGAUGGCUAUUUAUUCACCUGAGGCGUGGGGUUCCUGGAAUUGUGUGUGCUUUCCUGGAAGAAGUGUUGAACAGUGUAAUGGUUUGUGCAGAAAGCAUUCAAAGACUGAAGCAAUGUCAAGGAGAGACAAGGCAGCUGGACUUUAGGGAGAGCUCUCGGAUUCCACUCUCAUGAUAGAUUCUCGUUUUUCUAUAUGGAUAAAGAAGCCACUUUAGAGUACAGCCUUGACAAUCUGCUGGUUCUUCUUAUCUCUCUAUUCUUCGUGCCCUUCACGGAUCUCACAUUCACCUUGAUUCCUUGACAACUGAAGAAAGCACUUACGCCUACCUGGAGACUUUUCACUGUAAUUCAUAAAGGCUAUUUUUCCACACUGCUCUUGUGUAAGAAAAGGUCAGAUUUCUGCGUGCAAGCAUUAAACUAUUCAUACUAGAACUGAACUGAAGUGUGUAGCCUCCUGAGACAAGGAGUGUUACAUUUCGUGAUCAGCUUCUUUUGUCCCUUUCUCUGAACCAUCCGCUAUUUUGAAGAAUUGACUUUGGAGGAAGCAAUGCUCAGGCUUCUGACCUGAUGCUUUCAGCAUCCCUACAGUCAGUGAAGAUGAAAGGGGUGCCAUAACAGUGGUCUUUUAAUCACUGGUGUCCUGAAAAGACCUGAUUGCUUGAGACUUGAAGUUAAGAGACAUAAACCAGAUUUCAGCAAGCUGUAACUCUUCAAGCAAGUCACAGAGCAUGACCUUGAAUGGAUUAUUGCAUCUUGCACUGAAUGAAGCAUAUGGAGAGGAGAUUUCUGAAGAUAGAAGUUUGUUUUGGCUGGAAACGCUCAGCAGAAAGGUAGGACAAGACUAAUGAUUCUGCUCACUGCUGGGCAUCAAACUUCACUGUCCAGUCCUUUCCACAAUGUCUGUCUUCACAAUUUGCAAAUGUUCAUCCACGGCAUUCAAAAUAAGUAGAUGCUGAGAAGUUCUAAUGUACUGGGCUUAUUACUGAUCUACGCAUGAGUGAAAUAGAAAUGAGCACUGAGUGAAUGUGUCAGCUUGGUUCAACUUCAUUUGUAAUCUCAUGGUACACCAGAACAGAGAAUGUAUCUUCCAUGACAUUGACAGUUUUAUUCAUGGUGGCAUUUAAUAAAAUUAUGGCUGAUUUAGUUCAGACUUCAAGACUUAGACCUAACAGUUGACAGUCUGCAAUGUCUACGACCAUCUUUUUAUCUCCACCUUUCUGUAGUAGAUGUAUGAAAGCUGGAAACCUAGCUACACCACCAGGCUCAUGUAAAACUACUGAAUUGAAAUGCACGUCUUCUAAUAUAUAAUGCUCCUUUAAAGAAGGUACUGAUCUGCUCUGUGUGUGCACAGCAAGAAAAACAGUGGGCCUAAAGAGCAUCCCUUGGAAACAUUUUCUAGCAGUGGGAAUAUGAGGCAUUGGAAGGUUUCCUGAGCUGGUUGUGGAGCUUCCAUCAUUGGAGGCAUUUAAGAACAGGGCAGAGAGAUCUGGCUCAAGAAUGCCACAGGUACUAUUGAUCCCAUUACAGAGAGAAAGUGGAAAAUAUUAUUUUAAAAUCCUUACUGGUUAUCUUCUAGAAUAAUUUUGUUUCUUAUGGCCAUAAAUAUAUAAGAACCACUGUAAAACACUUAGCAUACUAUUUUGGAGACUGGAGGUGUUUUUCACUUAUUUUUAGAACUUGACCUUAAGACUGAAAAAUAACUUUUUCCUUCUGACUUUUGUUCUUCGCCUGGCAAACAUUAGUUAAAAACACAGAGAUGGAAAAUAUUUAAACUUUUAACUAGCAUGAGUUUUUCUUUUUGUUGUUUGUUUGUGUGCUAGUUUCAUUUGUGAUGUCAACUCCAGUCAGGGGAAAAAGGUGUAACUAACCUGGCACUGCACAGAGUGCAAAAAUACUGUUAUGUCGAAGCCCAAAUAAACACUAUCUACUG
This is a non-coding RNA of Meleagris gallopavo (turkey), 10477 nucleotides long. The record is from RefSeq and is a predicted model, not a curated record. Lineage: Eukaryota; Metazoa; Chordata; Aves; Galliformes; Phasianidae.